AUGCAAGUCGAACGGAGCUUAGAGAGCUUGCUUUUUAAGCUUAGUGGCGAACGGGUGAGUAACGCGUGAGUAACCUGCCCUAGAGUGGGGGACAACAGUUGGAAACGACUGCUAAUACCGCAUAAGCCCACGGUACCGCAUGAUACUGAGGGAAAAGGAUUUAUUCGCUUUAGGAUGGACUCGCGUCCAAUUAGCUAGUUGGUGAGGUAACGGCCCACCAAGGCGACGAUUGGUAGCCGGACUGAGAGGUUGAACGGCCACAUUGGGACUGAGACACGGCCCAGACUCCUACGGGAGGCAGCAGUGGGGGAUAUUGCACAAUGGGGGAAACCCUGAUGCAGCGACGCCGCGUGGAGGAAGAAGGUUUUCGGAUUGUAAACUCCUGUCGUUAGGGACGAUAAUGACGGUACCUAACAAGAAAGCACCGGCUAACUACGUGCCAGCAGCCGCGGUAAAACGUAGGGUGCAAGCGUUGUCCGGAAUUACUGGGUGUAAAGGGAGCGCAGGCGGGAAGGCAAGUUGGAAGUGAAAACCAUGGGCUCAACCCAUGAAUUGCUUUCAAAACUGUUUUUCUUGAGUAGUGCAGAGGUAGAUGGAAUUCCCGGUGUAGCGGUGGAAUGCGUAGAUAUCGGGAGGAACACCAGUGGCGAAGGCGGUCUACUGGGCACCAACUGACGCUGAGGCUCGAAAGCAUGGGUAGCAAACAGGAUUAGAUACCCUGGUAGUCCAUGCCGUAAACGAUGAUUACUAGGUGUUGGGGGAUUGACCCCCUCAGUGCCGCAGUUAACACAAUAAGUAAUCCACCUGGGGAGUACGACCGCA
This 822-nucleotide ribosomal RNA is filed under the name uncultured bacterium. RNAcentral's name for it is "bacterial SSU rRNA". It matches the Rfam family "Bacterial small subunit ribosomal RNA", at positions 55 to 890 of the family's 1533-position model. The record is from RNAcentral.